This 1224-nucleotide ribosomal RNA is filed under the name Triticum aestivum (bread wheat). RNAcentral's name for it is "partial small subunit ribosomal RNA". The record is from RNAcentral. Lineage: Eukaryota; Viridiplantae; Streptophyta; Magnoliopsida; Poales; Poaceae.
AUGGGUAUCUGCCUCGGCAAGACUACUACUUCGCGCUCGCCAUGGCCGGACCUCCCCCCCGACCUUGCCGCCCUCAUCAUAUCCCGUCUACCGUCCCAUCGAGACCGCCUCAGUUUCGGAGCCGUCUUCCGUGACUGGCGCCUCGCUGCGCGUCAGGAGCUGCCGCCGGCGAUGCCGUGCAUCAGCCUCGGCCGCGGCGCUUACCAGAGCAUCGCCGAUGGCAAGGUGUUUCGCUCGAGCCAUGGCGCCGACGUCACCUCCUUCGGCAGCUACCUUCUCUACAAGCACAGCCGCCGACUCUUCCUUCGCGAUUCUUCGUCCACCAUCGAGAUCCCAAGGGACCACCAUGAGUGUGCUGACGAGUGCAGCGAUAGGGGCGCCCAUGACCCAUGUGGCUCCAAGAGAACAUGGCCACUGAUUCCCGCAGAGGGCGUCGCCUUCACCAUGCGUAAGGUCCUCGUGUGCUCGUCCAGUCUCCUCGUUGCGAUCCUUAACCGUGACGCCGGAAGGCCAGUUUCCGCUUAUUGCUUGGUGUUUUUCCGGCCGGGCACCGGUCAGCUCUCAUGGGUGCUUCUGCUUACCACCAAUAUGUAUGGGUACAAGCAUGGGUACAAGUACAGGGACAUUGCCUUGUACCGUGGAAAAAUCUUCGCGCUCAUAUCAUCGGAGCAGCUCUUCACCCAUGAGAUUGAACAGCCAUGUCGCGUACAGCAUGUCAUCAAGGAACACACACCGCUGCCGCCCGGGAUCGGUCCAUCGUCGCCGAAGUUUCUUGUGAAGUACUACAUAGUCGUCUCAUCCGAUAAUAGAAAGCUAUUAAUGGUGCGGUGGAACAUCCCUCACGCGGCCUACGUUCAUCAUUCAAAGAUGAAUCUGCAGGUGUUCGAGGCAGAUUUGGAGAAGAGACAGUGGUUGGAGGUGAAUGACUUGGAUGGCCAGCUCCUCUUCCUGAGCAGGACUUGCUCAAGGGCACUCGCGGGCUCGUCGACGGAACACUACGGGCAGACAUUUCGAGGAAAUCGUGUGUUUAUCUUGGGCACUGACUGGGCACGGAUACGGAGGCGGUUGAACCCAUGCACGUGCCAUGAUUGCGAGAAGCUCGGCAAUGGUGUUCCAAGCUAUUGCGUGUAUGACAUGACGAGUGGAAAGCUUAGCCUUGUUUCGUUACGUAGAACUCGUAGAAGGAAAAAUGCAGGUUCAGAAUGGUUCUUCCCUUCUGGGUGA